GAUGAACGCUGGCGGCGUGCCUAACACAUGCAAGUCGAACGGGUCUUAUUUAACGCAGGCUUCGGCCCAAGGAGAAUAAGUACUAGUGGCGGACGGGUGAGUAACGCGAGGGUCAUCUGCCCUCUGUAGGGGAAUAACUGUGAGAAGUCACAGCUAAAACCGCAUAAGCUUACAGUAUCGCAUGGUAGAGUGAGAAAAACUACGGUACCAGGGGAGGAGCCCGCGUCUGAUUAGCUAGUUGGCGGGGUAGAGGCCCACCAAGGCGACGAUGGGUAGCCGGACUGAGAGGUUGAACGGCCACAAUGGGACUGAGACACGGCCCAGACUCCUACGGGAGGCAGCAGUGGGGAAUAUUGCGCAAUGGGGGAAACCCUGACGCAGCAACGCCGCGUGAUUGAAGAAGGCCUUCGGGUUGUAAAGAUCUUUAAUCAGGGACGGAGGAAGUGACGGUACCUGAAGAAUAAGCUCCGGCUAACUACGUGCCAGCAGCCGCCGUAAAAC
This 501-nucleotide ribosomal RNA is filed under the name uncultured bacterium. RNAcentral's name for it is "bacterial SSU rRNA". It matches the Rfam family "Bacterial small subunit ribosomal RNA", at positions 28 to 526 of the family's 1533-position model. The record is from RNAcentral.